Balaenoptera acutorostrata (minke whale) is the source of this 4701-nucleotide RNA transcript. It is a transcript of the gene named TAR DNA binding protein, with no coding region annotated. The transcript is spliced from 7 exons. Lineage: Eukaryota; Metazoa; Chordata; Mammalia; Artiodactyla; Balaenopteridae. The record is from RefSeq and is a predicted model, not a curated record.
GGAAACCGGUGGGAGAGGACGACGGCCGGAGGGGGGAGGAGGCGGCCCUAGCGCCAUUUUGUGGGAGCGAAGUGGUUGCUGGGCUGCUCUUGGAUUCCUCGCUGCUUCAGUGUCCCUGUCGGGCUUCCUAGCAGCGGCCUAGCGGCAAGACAAGCAAAGAUGUCCGAAUAUAUUCGGGUAACCGAAGAUGAGAACGACGAGCCCAUUGAAAUACCAUCAGAAGACGAUGGGACAGUGCUGCUGUCCACAGUUACAGCCCAGUUUCCAGGGGCAUGUGGGCUUCGCUACAGGAAUCCAGUGUCUCAAUGUAUGAGAGGGGUCCGUCUGGUAGAAGGCAUUCUGCACGCCCCUGAUGCUGGCUGGGGGAACCUGGUGUAUGUUGUCAACUAUCCCAAAGAUAACAAAAGGAAAAUGGAUGAAACAGAUGCUUCAUCAGCAGUGAAAGUGAAAAGAGCAGUCCAGAAAACAUCUGAUUUAAUAGUGUUGGGUCUCCCAUGGAAAACAACUGAACAGGAUCUAAAAGAAUAUUUUAGUACCUUUGGAGAAGUUCUUAUGGUUCAGGUCAAGAAAGAUAUUAAAACUGGUCAUUCAAAAGGGUUUGGCUUUGUUCGUUUUACGGAAUAUGAAACCCAGGUGAAAGUAAUGUCACAGCGACAUAUGAUAGAUGGACGAUGGUGUGACUGUAAACUUCCAAAUUCUAAGCAAAGCCCAGAUGAGCCUUUGAGAAGCAGAAAGGUGUUUGUUGGGCGUUGUACGGAAGACAUGACUGCUGAUGAGUUGCGGCAGUUUUUUUGCCAGUACGGAGAAGUGGUAGAUGUCUUCAUUCCCAAACCGUUCAGGGCUUUUGCCUUUGUUACGUUUGCAGAUGAUCAGGUUGCCCAAUCUCUUUGUGGAGAGGACUUGAUCAUUAAAGGAAUCAGCGUACAUAUAUCCAAUGCUGAACCUAAACACAAUAGCAAUAGACAGUUAGAAAGAAGUGGAAGAUUUGGUGGUAAUCCAGGUGGCUUUGGGAAUCAGGGUGGAUUUGGUAACAGUAGAGGGGGUGGAGCUGGUUUGGGAAACAAUCAAGGUAGUAAUAUGGGCGGAGGGAUGAACUUUGGUGCUUUUAGCAUUAAUCCAGCAAUGAUGGCUGCAGCCCAGGCAGCUCUGCAGAGCAGCUGGGGUAUGAUGGGCAUGUUAGCCAGUCAGCAGAACCAGUCAGGCCCAUCGGGUAAUAACCAAAGCCAAGGCAACAUGCAGAGGGAGCCAAAUCAGGCUUUUGGUUCUGGAAAUAACUCUUAUACUGGUUCUAAUUCAGGUGCAGCAAUUGGUUGGGGAUCAGCAUCAAAUGCAGGGUCAGGCAGUGGUUUUAAUGGAGGCUUCGGCUCAAGUAUGGAUUCUAAAUCUUCUGGCUGGGGAAUGUAGACAUUGGGUUAUCGUUAGUUGGUAUAAACUGGUGGGAAUUCAGAUUUUUCUAAACUCAUGGUAAGUAUAUUGUAAAAUACGUAUGUACUAAGAAUUUUCAAAAUUGGUUCAGUGUGGAGUAUAUUCAGCAGUAUUUUUGACAUUUUUCUUUAGAAAAAGAGGAAGAGCUAAAGGAAUUUUAUAAGUUUUGUUACAUAAAGGGUUGAAAUAUUGAGUGUUUGAAAGUGAACUGCUGUUUGCCUGAUUGGUAAACCAACACACUACAAUUGAUAUCAAAAGGUUUCUCCUGUAAUAUUUUAUCCCUGGACUUGUCAAGUGAAUUCUUUGCAUGUUCAAAAUGGAAACCAUUGGUUAGAACUACAUUCUUUUCUCCUUGUUUUAAUUUGAACCCCACCAUAUGGAUUUUUUCCUUAGGAAAAUCUUUUUGGAGAUCAUGGUGUCACAGUGUUUGGUUCUUUUGUUUUUUGUUUUUGUUUUUUAACACUUGUCUCCCUUCAUAUACAAAAGUACAAUAUGAAGCCUUCAUUUAAUCUCUGCAGUUCAUCUCAUUUCAAAUGUUUAUGGAAGAAGCACUUCAUUGAAAGUAGUGCUGUAAAUAUUCUGCCAUAGGAAUACUUCUGUCUACAUGCUUUCUCAUUCAAGAAUUCGUCAUCACGCUGCACAGGCUGUGUCUUUGACGCCCUGAAUGCAAAGAAUUCAUAGCAGUUAAUUCCCCUUUUUUGACCCUUUUGAGAUGGAACUUUCAUAAAGUUUCUUGGCAGUAGUUUAUUUUGCUUCAAAUAAACUUAUUUGAAAAGUUGUCUCAAGUCAAAUGGAUUCAUCACCUGUCAUGCAUUGACACCUGAUACCCAGACUUAAUUGCUAUUUGUUCUUGCAUUGUCCAAAGUGAAAAGUUUUUUUUUUUUCUUUUUAAAUCUAGUUUUUAAUAAGUCUGGGUGACCGCACCUAAAAUGGUAAGCAGUACCCUCCAGCUUUUUCUUAGUGCCUCUGUGCAUUUGGGUGAUGUUCUAUUUACAUGACCUGUUAUAAAUCUCCAUUGGGAAAUCAUGCCUUCUAAAAAUAUUCUUAUUUGGAGGAGUGGACAGAACAAUGUUAAUUAUUUUAAAAUGCUUUGUAGCAAAGCCUAUCAAUUGAAGGGAGUAUCAGCACCUUUCUAGUUGGGGAUUUGAAAAGUGGAAUUAAUUGCAAUAGGGAUAAAGUAGAAGAAACCACAAAUUAUCUUGUGCCUGAAAUCCAUUAAGAAGCCUGAUAGCUUUAAGAACUAGCAGGGUGGGUUGUCUGUGGAAGUGUUAAGUGAAAUGGGCUUUGUCUUCCAAAUGUGGGGAAAUAGAGUAAUGUUGAAUAAAAUUGCUUAUAAAACUCAGAUUAGACUCUCACGGUGCAUUGUUAAGUAUGUAAAAGCAAUAAUAUAUUCUCUAUUGUACUUAAAAUGUAACUACUAUGAGAGUUGAGCUCCUUUUCUAAUGGAAGAAUGUAAGUUUUUGUGCUGAUAAUUUACCUAAUGCCCUUAUCUAAUUAGAUUAUGAUAAAUAGGUUUGUCAUUUUGCAAGUUACAUGUUUUAAACUUUUAUAAAUGAAGUCGUCCUUUAGACUUAUGGUCGCCACAUUGUUUUAUUCAGUUUCCUCUGUAAAAGGAUCUUGCGUUGUUUUAAUUUUUUUUUUUUUCUGCAUCUAAAUUGCAUGAUUUCCAAACCCUGUACCAUCUGAAUUUUGCAUUUUAGCACUUGCACUAUUACUCAGCAGCAGUAACAUGGUAACACUUAAAAUGGUAUUCGGGGACCUCCAAAGACUAAACUGACAAGCCUUCAAGGAGCCCAGGGGUAAGUUAUCUUUGUCAAUGGCAUGGUUUUGAUCCCUUAUUUACACCUGUGUAAAUCUAGUUACCAGUCUUAGAAGGCUUUCAAUGUUGACUAGCCUUCUGUUAACAUGUUUAUGGUACUACAUAGCUAUGGGUAUUUAAUUCUACCCUAAAAAAAAAAAAAAAAAUGAAGUUUAGAAGUAAACUAUUUGGCAAAGAUUUGUUUUUAAAGUCUAUUUGGUCAUCUAAAUGCAUUCAUUCUAAAAAAUUUUUUGAACCAGUUGAAUAAACAUUUUUGUUGCCACCACAGUUUAGUGUCUGGAGUCUUACUGGAAAAACAGUUUCUUUUUUUUUUUUUAAAUGUGACAAAGAUGCUGGAAAGUUACCUUUAAAAAGUGAGUCUCAAGAAGUUGCACUUCAUAUGCACAAGAGAAGUUAGUCAAAACUCACAAUGAAUUUCUACAUACAAUGGUAACUGUUUGGCUAGAAUGAAAAACUUUGUUAAAUGUUAAGUAUUAAAACUUUUUAGGGAGGAAUGGCCAGCUAAAUGAGAUUUUUAAGGUUAAGUCAGCGCUUAAAUGCUGUCCUUAGGAGAAAGAUGUUGAGUACUUAGUAAUUCAGAAGAUGUAUGUGAUAAUUAGAAUAAUUUUUUGUUGUUGAAUACUAGGAGAGUAACUCUUAACUGUGUAUUUAAGUUCUGUACUUAGCUGUUGUACGAUCUGUAAUCUAUUUUUAAGUGUGCCCAAGUAUUCCACGUUCGUGGUAAGAAGGAAAAAAACACUACAGGUUGAUUUAUCAAUAAUACCACCACUUAUUUUUAAUGUUGUAUUUCAUCUUAUGGAAAUGCCAUAUUUGAUGCAACUGUCUUCUGAAUUUGAAAAUAAAAUAUUUAGGUUAUUUCCAAGUGCUAGGAACAUCCUCACAGCUAAAUUAAAAUCUUAGCAUUGGAAUUACCAGGUCAGAGACUAUGCAUGCUUUUAAGACUUGUGAAAUAUAUUGCCAAAUGGUCCUUCAGAAAAUUCGUUGUCUUCGACAGUGUAAAAUAGUGCUGUUCCAUGUUCUUUUUGUCUGCCAGUUUGAGAAGUGAAAAAUUAUAGCAUUGGUUUUAACAUGGAAAUCAGUCUAUACCUAGGCCAAAGUAUUGAUAUUUCCAAUUUAUCUACCCAAGAAAAACAUGAUUCAAAGUAAUUCCUGAAACAAUACUGCUAUAAUAUGUAACACUCUCAGAGAACAAUAAGAACAAGUACAAAAAACUGGAGAAAAACAGUUAAAGAACAUGAACAGGCAAUUUCCAGAAAUGCAAAUAGCCAGUACAAACAGACACUGGACUUUUGUAAGUAAAUCCAAAUUUAACCAGUGAGUUUCUAUUGGAUUGGCAACGAUGAAUAUCACUACAAUGGUUUAUGUCCCCUUCAAUCAAAGAGUAAGUGGUGGGAAAGUGGCAAGUGGAGAAGUGCCUGAAAGGCACAGCUCACCUGUAGUUUGGUUUGGUUUGGUUU